UACGAAGGGUGCAAACGUUAUUCGGAAUCACUGGGCGUAAAGGGUGUGUAGACGGCCUACUAAGUUCGUUGUUUAAUCUUCCGGCCUAACUGGAAGCUCGCAAUGGAAACUGGUAAGCUCGAGGGUGGAAGAGAGAAGUGGAAUUCUCGGAGUAGCGGUAAAAUGCGUAGAUCUCGAGAGGAACACCGAUGGCGAAGGCAGCUUCUUGGUCCACUCCUGACGUUGAGACACGAAAGCGUGGGUAGCAAACAGG
This 253-nucleotide ribosomal RNA is filed under the name uncultured bacterium. RNAcentral's name for it is "partial 16S ribosomal RNA". It matches the Rfam family "Bacterial small subunit ribosomal RNA", at positions 524 to 776 of the family's 1533-position model. The record is from RNAcentral.